RNAcentral lists this ribosomal RNA (526 nucleotides) under uncultured bacterium. RNAcentral's name for it is "bacterial SSU rRNA". It matches the Rfam family "Bacterial small subunit ribosomal RNA", at positions 982 to 1509 of the family's 1533-position model. The record is from RNAcentral.
GUACAUCCAGAGAACUUGGCAGAGAUGCCUGGUGCCUUCGGGACCUCUGAGACAGGUGCUGCAUGGCUGUCGUCAGCUCGUGUUGUGAAAUGUUGGGUUAAGUCCCGNAACGAGCGCAACCCCUAUCCUUUGUUGCCAGCGAUUCGGUCGGGAACUCAAAGGAGACUGCCGGUGAUAAACCGGAGGAAGGUGGGGAUGACGUCAAGUCAUCAUGGCCCUUACGAGUAGGGCUACACACGUGCUACAAUGGCGCAUACAAAGAGAAGCGACCUCGCGAGAGCAAGCGGACCUCAUAAAGUGCGUCGUAGUCCGGAUCGGAGUCUGCAACUCGACUCCGUGAAGUCGGAAUCGCUAGUAAUCGUAGAUCAGAAUGCUACGGUGAAUACGUUCCCGGGCCUUGUACACACCGCCCGUCACACCAUGGGAGUGGGUUGCAAAAGAAGUAGAUAGCUUAACCUUCGGGAGGGCGUUUACCACUUUGUGAUUCAUGACUGGGGUGAAGUCGUAACAAGGUAAGCGUAGCGAG